RNAcentral lists this ribosomal RNA (602 nucleotides) under Enterococcus avium. RNAcentral describes it as "bacterial SSU rRNA". It matches the Rfam family "Bacterial small subunit ribosomal RNA", at positions 45 to 625 of the family's 1533-position model. Lineage: Bacteria; Bacillati; Bacillota; Bacilli; Lactobacillales; Enterococcaceae. The record is from RNAcentral.
UGCCUAAUACAUGCAAGUCGAACGCUUUUUCUUUCACCGGAGCUUGCUCCACCGAAAGAAAAGGAGUGGCGAACGGGUGAGUAACACGUGGGUAACCUGCCCAUCAGAAGGGGAUAACACUUGGAAACAGGUGCUAAUACCGUAUAACAAUCGAAACCGCAUGGUUUCGGUUUGAAAGGCGCUUUUGCGUCACUGAUGGAUGGACCCGCGGUGCAUUAGCUAGUUGGUGAGGUAACGGCUCACCAAGGCAACGAUGCAUAGCCGACCUGAGAGGGUGAUCGGCCACAUUGGGACUGAGACACGGCCCAAACUCCUACGGGAGGCAGCAGUAGGGAAUCUUCGGCAAUGGACGCAAGUCUGACCGAGCAACGCCGCGUGAGUGAAGAAGGUUUUCGGAUCGUAAAACUCUGUUGUUAGAGAAGAACAAGGAUGAGAGUAGAACGUUCAUCCCUUGACGGUAUCUAACCAGAAAGCCACGGCUAACUACGUGCCAGCAGCCGCGGUAAUACGUAGGUGGCAAGCGUUGUCCGGAUUUAUUGGGCGUAAGCGAGCGCAGGCGGUUUCUUAGUUUGUGUAAAGCCCCCGGUCACCGGGGAGGUCAU